AUUGAACGCUGGCGGCAGGCCUAACACAUGCAAGUCGAACGGUAGCAGGAAGAAGCUUGCUUCUUUGCUGACGAGUGGCGGACGGGUGAGUAAUGUCUGGGAAACUGCCUGAUGGAGGGGGAUAACUACUGGAAACGGUAGCUAAUACCGCAUAACGUCGCAAGACCAAAGAGGGGGACCUUCGGGCCUCUUGCCAUCGGAUGUGCCCAGAUGGGAUUAGCUAGUAGGUGGGGUAACGGCUCACCUAGGCGACGAUCCCUAGCUGGUCUGAGAGGAUGACCAGCCACACUGGAACUGAGACACGGUCCAGACUCCUACGGGAGGCAGCAGUGGGGAAUAUUGCACAAUGGGCGCAAGCCUGAUGCAGCCAUGCCGCGUGUAUGAAGAAGGCCUUCGGGUUGUAAAGUACUUUCAGCGGGGAGGAAGGGAGUAAAGUUAAUACCUGUGCUCAUUGACGUUACCCGCAGAAGAAGCACCGGCUAACUCCGUG
Molecule: ribosomal RNA, 490 nt
Filed under: uncultured bacterium
Lineage: Bacteria
Description: partial 16S ribosomal RNA
Rfam family: Bacterial small subunit ribosomal RNA
Source: RNAcentral